Molecule: ribosomal RNA, 659 nt
Filed under: uncultured Lachnospiraceae bacterium
Lineage: Bacteria; Bacillati; Bacillota; Clostridia; Lachnospirales; Lachnospiraceae
Description: bacterial SSU rRNA
Rfam family: Bacterial small subunit ribosomal RNA
Source: RNAcentral
GAGUGGCGAACGGGUGAGUAACGCGUGGGUAACAUGCCUCAUACAGGGGGAUAACAGUUGGAAACGGCUGCUAAUACCGCAUAAGCGCACAGUACCGCAUGGUACGGUGUGAAAAACUCCGGUGGUAUGAGAUGGACCCGCGUCUGAUUAGGUAGUUGGUGGGGUAACGGCCUACCAAGCCGACGAUCAGUAGCCGACCUGAGAGGGUGACCGGCCACAUUGGGACUGAGACACGGCCCAAACUCCUACGGGAGGCAGCAGUGGGGAAUAUUGCACAAUGGGGGAAACCCUGAUGCAGCGACGCCGCGUGAGCGAUGAAGUAUUUCGGUAUGUAAAGCUCUAUCAGCAGGGAAGAAAAUGACGGUACCUGACUAAGAAGCCCCGGCUAACUACGUGCCAGCAGCCGCGGUAAUACGUAGGGGGCAAGCGUUAUCCGGAUUUACUGGGUGUAAAGGGAGCGUAGACGGCAUGGCAAGCCAGAUGUGAAAGCCCGGGGCUCAACCCCGGGACUGCAUUUGGAACUGUCAGGCUAGAGUGUCGGAGAGGAAAGCGGAAUUCCUAGUGUAGCGGUGAAAUGCGUAGAUAUUAGGAGGAACACCAGUGGCGAAGGCGGCUUUCUGGACGAUGACUGACGUUGAGGCUCGAAAGCGUGGGGAGCA